CAAGAUCAAAUUAUGUAAUAAGUUUGGGUCAUUAGAAGAUAUGGAUGUGUCUGAUAACAUCCAUCCUCGGGCACAUAGCUCGUCGCCUUCCAAGAAAGUGCGGGGUAGAUCCCCAAUCAACCCACCAAAAAGGCCAAAUUAUUGAAUU
Molecule: long non-coding RNA, 148 nt
Organism: Haliotis rubra (blacklip abalone)
Lineage: Eukaryota; Metazoa; Mollusca; Gastropoda; Lepetellida; Haliotidae
Exons: 3
Source: RefSeq, a predicted model, not a curated record